UGACAGAUGUUGGGACAUCUGUCACCCCAUUGAUCGCCAGGGUUGAUUCGGCUGAUCUGGGUGGNUAGGCAGGUGUUCCCUUCCUCCCUUACUGCUCCACAUGCAUCCGUUUCGAAGCUGAGCGCUCAGUCAAAGAGCAUGACAUACCCCGAUACAGGUGGUACCAUUCAUCGGUCACANGUAUACAGUAGCUGUGCUCCUCUUCUAGAACCUCCAAACAAGCUCAAGCUCCAGUUGCAGGAGAACGUAGGGCAUUCAAGCUUCCAAGACUGCAGUUUUUUUAUUCUUUUUAUUUAUUUNUAUUUUAGGAACUGUA
RNAcentral lists this small nuclear RNA (316 nucleotides) under Amazona aestiva (blue-fronted amazon). Its description in RNAcentral is "7SK RNA". It matches the Rfam family "7SK RNA". From Rfam's summary of the family: 7SK was discovered as an abundant small nuclear RNA in the mid-70s but a possible function has only recently been suggested. Two independent studies have found that 7SK RNA binds the CDK9/cyclin T complex (known as elongation factor P-TEFb). The record is from Rfam by way of RNAcentral. Lineage: Eukaryota; Metazoa; Chordata; Aves; Psittaciformes; Psittacidae.